This is a non-coding RNA of Myotis davidii, 77 nucleotides long. The record is from Rfam. NCBI's taxonomy places the organism in Eukaryota, Metazoa, Chordata, Mammalia, Chiroptera, Vespertilionidae.
GAGACACCCUUCUGGGGCGCGACUUGCUUCAGUGGGGCUUUGGUGCUCACUGAGACUGCACCCUGAGUGUGUCCUCU